RNAcentral lists this transfer RNA (75 nucleotides) under Chromatium okenii. RNAcentral describes it as "tRNA-Glu". It matches the Rfam family "tRNA". From Rfam's summary of the family: Transfer RNA (tRNA) molecules are approximately 80 nucleotides in length. Their secondary structure includes four short double-helical elements and three loops (D, anti-codon, and T loops). Further hydrogen bonds mediate the characteristic L-shaped molecular structure. tRNAs have two regions of fundamental functional importance: the anti-codon, which is responsible for specific mRNA codon recognition, and the 3' end, to which the tRNAs corresponding amino acid is attached (by aminoacyl-tRNA synthetases). tRNAs cope with the degeneracy of the genetic code in two manners: having more than one tRNA (with a specific anti-codon) for a particular amino acid; and 'wobble' base-pairing, i.e. permitting non-standard base-pairing at the 3rd anti-codon position. The record is from RNAcentral. Lineage: Bacteria; Pseudomonadati; Pseudomonadota; Gammaproteobacteria; Chromatiales; Chromatiaceae.
GCUCCCUUCGUCUAGUGGUUAGGACACUGGCCUCUCACGUCGGCAACAGGGGUUCGAACCCCCUAGGGAGCGCCA